GAAAAAAGACAAGGGCAGACGGUGGAUGCCUUGGCUCUCGGAAGCGAAGAAGGACGUGAUAAGCUGCGAAAAGCUACGGGUAUCGGCACAUACGAAUUGAUCCGUAGAUCUCCGAAUGGGGCAACCCGGCAUAUGGAAGAUAUGUCACUGUGCAGAGCACAGAGCAGACGUGGGGAACUGAAACAUCUUAGUACCCAUAGGAAAAGAAAACAAAAGUGAUUCCCUUAGUAGUGGCGAGCGAACGGGGAGUAGCCCAAACCGGCUUUGUUUCGGCAAAGUCGGGGUAAUAGGAUCAGACGACAAAUUAUAUAAAGACUUUAGUAGAAUUGUGUUGGAAAGCACAGCCAGAGAGCGUGACAGCCGCGUAGACGAAAAGGUCGCUAUAUAAGAGUUUGACACCUGAGUAGCUCGGGACACGUGAAAUCCUGAGUGAAUUAGCGGGGCCCAUCCCGUAAGGCUAAAUAUACCCGAGAGACCGAUAGUGAACAAGUACCGUGAGGGAAAGGUGAAAAGGACCUCGAACAGAGGAGUGCAAUAGACCCUGAACCCGUCUGCCUACAAGCGGUAGGAGCCCCUACGUGGGGUGACUGCGUGCCUUUUGCAUAAUGAACCUACGAGUUGCCGUUGCUGGCAAGGCUAACCGGCUAGAGUCGGGUACCCGGAGCGAAAGCGAGUCUGAAUAGGGCGUUUAUAGUCAGCAGGGGCAGACGCGAAACCAAGUGAUCUACCCUUGGCCAGGUUGAAGGUUAGGUAACACUAAUUGGAGGACCGCAUCGGUAAGCGUUGAAAAGCUUUCGAAUGAGCUGAGGGUAGGGGUGAAAGGCUAAUCAAACUUGGAGAUAGCUCGUACUCCCCGAAAUGCAUUUAGGUGCAGCCUGUGGAGUUUCUUACGUGAGGUAGAGCGACUGAUUGGAUGCGAGGCUUUCACCGGCUAUCAAGUCCAGACAAACUCCGAAUGCUUAUAAGUUAUCCUGGGAGUGAGGGCAUGGGUGCUAAGGUCCAUGUCCUAAAGGAGAAGAAUCCGGACCAUCGGCUAAGGUCCCUAAAUCACUGCUAAGUUGGACAAACGCGGUCAAGAUGCGAAGACAGCUAGGAUGUUGGCUUGGAAGCAGCCAUUCAUUUAAAGAGUGCGUAACAGCUCACUAGUCGAGGAUUUUGGCAUGGAUAAUAAUCGGGCAUAAGCAGUGUACCGAAGCUGUGGGAUGUUUAAACAUCGGUAGGGGAGCAUUCUAACGGAGCAGAAGAUUCGAAGGUGAUUCGGGUUGGAUUUGUUAGAAAAGCAAAUGUAGGUAUAAGUAACGAUAAAGGGGGUCAGAAACCCCCUCGCCGAAAGACCAAGGUUUCCUGAUCAACGCUAAACGGAUCAGGGUUAGUCGGGCCCUAAGCGGAAGCCGAACGGCGCACGCGAUGGCAGAAUGGGUUAAUAUUCCCAUACUAAUCAUAUGAGUGAUGUGGAGACGGAGAAGUGACAGUACGGCCAACUGACGGAAUAGUUGGUUAAAGGGUGUAGAUGUAGAUUGGGGUAGGCAAAUCCGCCCUGAGAGUCGAACCUGAUAGUACAGAGCGUGCAUGCACAAUCUGAAAAGUACGUAACCAGGCUCCCAAGAAAAUCCGCUAAACAUAUUGUAUGAUUACCCGUACCGUAAACCGACACAGGUGGUUGGGUUGAGUAUACUAAGGCGCUCGAGUGAUUCGCGGUUAAGGAACUAGGCAAAAUAGUCCUGUAACUUCGGGAAAAAGGACGCCUCUGAAUGAUCAGAGGUCGCAGAGAAAAGGCCCUGGCGACUGUUUAACAAAAACACAUGGCUAUGCGAAAUAGAAAUAUGCAGUAUAUAGCCUGACACCUGCCCGGUGCCGGAAGGUUAAGAGGAGAGGUCAUCUUUUUUGGAGAAGCUUUGAAUUGAAGCCCCGGUAAACGGCGGCCGUAACUAUAACGGUCCUAAGGUAGCGAAAUUCCUUGUCGGGU
RNAcentral lists this ribosomal RNA (1966 nucleotides) under human gut metagenome. Its description in RNAcentral is "bacterial LSU rRNA". It matches the Rfam family "Bacterial large subunit ribosomal RNA", at positions 1 to 1977 of the family's 2925-position model. The record is from RNAcentral.